This is a long non-coding RNA of Mustela lutreola (European mink), 3836 nucleotides long. RefSeq lists it as uncharacterized. The record is from RefSeq and is a predicted model, not a curated record. The transcript has 5 exons. NCBI's taxonomy places the organism in Eukaryota, Metazoa, Chordata, Mammalia, Carnivora, Mustelidae.
CUGUAGCAAUAUUCCUUUCCUUUGGAGAAUCCUUCCAAAUCUUGUGUGAUCCUGGUGGAAAGGUAUGUCAUAGCAGCCAACCUCAUCUCUGCCAAGGGAUUUUAUUUGUCAGACAGCGAGAGAGAGGAAGAGCACAAGCAGAAGGAGUCACAGGCAGAGGGAGAAGCAGACUCCCUGCUGAGCAGGGAACCCAAUGUAGGACUCAGUCCCAGGACCCUGAGAUCAUGAACUGAGCUGAAGAGCGAGAUCACAAGUAGGCAGAGAGAGAGGAGGAAGCAGUCUCCCUGCCAAGCAGAGAGCCCAAUGCGGAACUUGAUCCCAGGACCCUGAGAUUAUGACCUGAGCUGAAGGCAGAGGCUUACCCCACUGAGCCACCCAGGAACCCAUGGCUAAGGUUUUGAUUGGGAUUGUGUUGACUCUAUCGAUAGGCUGGGAAGAACUGACAUGUUGACAAUAUUGAGGCUACCUGUCCAUGAACAGGAAACAUCUCUUCAUUUAUUUCGAUCUUUGAUUUCUUUCAUCAGGGUUUUAUAGUUGUAUAUAUCUAGAACGUGAACAUAGUUUGUUAGAUUUAUACUUCAGUAUUUCUUUUGGUGCUAAUGUAGAUGGCAUUGUGUUUUGAUUUCUGAUUCGCUGCUGACAUAUAAGAAAGCAAUUGGCUAUCAUAUAUUAACUUGUGUCCUAACAUCCUGUUAUCAUCACGAAUUAGUUCUAGGAUUUUUAUAAAAAUUAUUCUUUGGGAUUUUCAAUAUAGAUAAUGACUUAGUAUCUUUCAAAGCUUUUACAUAUGUGUGUAUAAUGAUAUGAAUUCGUGGAUCUAAAUGCCUUAAUCUGGGUCAAUCUCUUGCGAUUAUUAUUUUUAUCAAUAUAUAAUUAUCUCAUACUGGGUCAGUGGAAGUCUCUGCAGGCUGAUUCCUCAGUCCUUCCGACAGGCCACUAGUAGUCUUGGAUUGCUUCACUGUUCUCUGGUAUGGUAAGAUGUUCCAGGUUAGUCUUUCACAUUUCUUGCGCCAGACCUGUAAUCAGUUUACCCUUCAAGGAGACCUGACUGACUGGUAGUCCAGAUGGACGACCACACCGUCUUUUAGUCUAUUUCUCAAAUUCCACUCAGCUUGCCUUUAUUCCGUUCUCCAUAUAAAAGUAAGGAUGAUUUUAAAAUCACACCCAGAACUGUAACUCCCAAAUACUAUUUCCCAGUAAAACGUCCUCUGGAGAAAAGACAGACUCGAGAACAGCUUUCCAGUUUGGGGUGAAGACUGGUGGGGGGCUAUCAAUAUCAGAAUAAUGAACCUUCUGAGGAAGAUCUGAAGUGGGAUAUUAAAUCCCUGCUUCAGAAUGUCAGAGGUCUAAAUUUCAAAGAUAUAGUAUAAACAAUGUUUCCGCAACCCUCAUGCCCUUAGUAACUGUUUACAUUACUUUGUAUAUACUUUUCCAGUCCUUGUUGACUAAGUCUACAGUUUAAAAGUUGCAAGCAAUGUAUUCAUUCUGCUUUCUCGCCUGCAUCUUUCCAUGUAGAUAAUCACUUGAAAAAAUAUUUAAUCAUGCUAACUUACACAAAUUGACUUACUUUCUUAUUUUGGGUACGUUGCUUCUGAUUUUUUUUUUAUUAUUGUGUGUCAGUUAAGACUUUGGUUAUAAGCAACAAAAAAGUGAUUCAAAUUACUUUAAGUUAAAAGGAUAAUUUAUUACAAAGACAGAGGGGCGUGUCACAGAGUCAAAGGGUAGAAAUGCAGUUUGGGCGUCUGGAAGGAGCCAGAAAGUUGACAGUCCAUUCUUUGUUUAUCUCUGUUUUUCUUGGUGAAUCUGCUUCAUUCUUCUUUCCUUUACCCUGAUUAGAGUUACCUCAUAGUUUAUUGUGUCACUCUGACCACAUACAGAGAUUAACCUGCAAUUUUCCCAUCCCAGUUCCACAUCCUGGUGUGCAUUAGAUCCAGCCCUGGUUGAGUUGGAGACCAUAGGGGGAUUGCCCAUUACAAACAUGGAUGCCAGGGCCCCAUCUCUGGGGAACAGAGCGGGGAAGAGGCUCCUACAGAAGAGGGGCUAGCUCACGGGCUGGUCUGACCCCUAAAAGACAUCACUACAAUUUGAAUAGCACCGCUAUGAACAAGUUUGUGGAAGUUACUUUUGUUCUUUGUCCUUGGAGUAUGUUCUUCAGAGGAGAAUUAGUGGGUCUCAGAGUAGGAACAGUUCAUGACUUAUCCUUAGACAAUGUGAACUGGGCCACGCUGACGACAGGAGAGGAAAUAGGGGUGUUAGGAAAUACUGGUCUGGCAACUCUCAAGAGACUCUUCCUUAUCUCCGUGAUAUGCCUUUUAAGUCAUUGCCUGUUCCACCCUCAGAAAGCACUAGACUGAACACACUCUCUUCACAUUCCUUCGGCUUUUUGUCUUUUGUCCCUUCAGGAGUAUUUUUUGAGCAGAAGCUAUGAGAGGACAAUAAAAUCCAAUGCUCCUGGAGUAACAUCACAUUCUUAAAGGGAGUUACGAACUUGCAAAUUAAUUUCUUCUCACAAGUAAAUACCCCACAUUCUUUCUCCUUUCUCUUGGUUCCCUUUUCCAAUCCCUUUCACAUUUUUCUGGCCCUUGCCACCCUCGUCUCCUUUCUCCCCUCAGACUGAAGAUCUGAACCAUGUCCCUCCAGCAUGAAGUGCUGAAAAAAACCCCACAACCUAAGAGAUUAGUUGCUCAAGUAAAUGAUCACUUUCAAGGAUACUGACUACCUGAGUACUUUACAUUUGCCACAUUUGAAACAAAGUUACAUUAUUCUUUUUUAGGUGAGGCCAGAAUUUUAAUGUAUCUUUGGAUUCCUUAAUUCACAAAGUUGUGAACCACAUAGGCAGGAAGCCGGGGGCGGGGAGGUGGAUAGGCUAGAGAGAACCAGGACAGAGGAUGUCCCAGGUCAACACUGUUCUGGUUGAUCGGCAAAAACCACAUACAGGAGGGAAGGGAGUGAGGUCAGCCAGUAAGAUGGGAGGCAAGUCACUGACCUGGAGGCAAUGAUGAAGUGUGGCCCGGAGCAGGGAAGCUAGCUAUAGAAACUAAAGGUUCUGGUGGGCAAGAAGGCAAGAUAAACUUGGAGCCCAAGCAACCAGAUAGAGGGUCCAAGGCAUGGACAAAAAAAACAAAAAACAAAAAAACAAAAAACCAUGUCCAGCUCUAGGGGAUACCCAGAGAUGUUUGUCUCUAUACAUCAGCAUUGAGAGAAGUAUUUGCCAUAUGUUUUCAAAACAUUUUAAUUCCCCCAAAUUGCCUUUUUUCUUCAUUUUAUUGCAAUGUUUCCGUAUUGCUUAUUUAAAAUGGUACCAUUCACAAUGGUGCUGUCAGAACAAGUCUCUUGGUUCUAAGUCAGAAGUAUCAUCCUCUGUCUUAUUUUUAAGUGCAAGUGACAAAUGUUGGCACUGCCUGGCAGGUGUGUUCUCGUCCACAGUAAGAUGGCACUUUGCAGAUGUCACUGGCUGGGACAGCCCACGCAAGGGGCGUGACCGCUGGAGGAUCCCUCUGUUCCUAAAGGAGUUCUUCCAUAGGUACAAUGGGACAGAUAGAGAUCACAAGAAGGCAGAGAGGCAGGCAGAGAGAGAGAGGAGGAAGCAGGCUCCCUGCUGAGCAGAAAGCCCUAUGUGGGGCUCGAUCCCAGGACCCUGAGAGGAUGACCUGAGCCGAAGGCAGAGACUUAACCCACUGAGCCACCCAGGUGCCCCUAAACAUCAUUUUCGAAUGAAGGAUCCUGCAGGACAUUUUACAUUUUGCUUGAUGUUUGGACUUGCACUGUCAGUGGGAUUUUAAUUUGUAAACUAAACUUUAUACACUGUUUGAUUAAACAGGCAUUUUAAAGCACCA